GGUCUCUGGCUCAGAGGAAGAGCCUCUGCUUUGCACACACAAGGCCGCAGGUUCAAUCCCUGGCAUCUCCU
RNAcentral lists this transfer RNA (71 nucleotides) under Sphaerodactylus townsendi. RNAcentral's name for it is "tRNA-Ala". Lineage: Eukaryota; Metazoa; Chordata; Lepidosauria; Squamata; Sphaerodactylidae. The record is from RNAcentral.